CGAACCGGGGGAACUGAAACAUCUAAGUACCCCGAGGAAAAGAAAUCAACCGAGAUUCCCCCAGUAGCGGCGAGCGAACGGGGAGGAGCCCAGAGCCUGAAUCAGCAUGUGUGUUAGUGGAAGCGUCUGGAAAGGCGCGCGAUACAGGGUGAGAGCCCCGUACACAAAAGCGCAUAUGCUGUGAGCUCGAUGAGUAGGGCGGGACACGUGGUAUCCUGUCUGAAUAUGGGGGGACCAUCCUCCAAGGCUAAAUACUCCUGACUGACCGAUAGUGAACCAGUACCGUGAGGGAAAGGCGAAAAGAACCCCGGCGAGGGGAGUGAAACAGAACCUGAAACCGUGUACGUACAAGCAGUGGGAGCCUCUCUUUAUGGGGGGUGACUGCGUACCUUUUGUAUAAUGGGUCAGCGACUUAUAUUCUGUAGCAAGGUUAACCGCAUAGGGGAGCCGAAGGGAAACCGAGUCUUAAUUGGGCGUUAAGUUGCAGGGUAUAGACCCGAAACCCGGUGAUCUAGCCAUGGGCAGGUUGAAGGUUGGGUAACACUAACUGGAGGACCGAACCGACUAAUGUUGAAAAAUUAGCGGAUGACCUGUGGCUGGGGGUGAAAGGCCAAUCAAACCGGGAGAUAGCUGGUUCUCCCCGAAAGCUAUUUAGGUAGCGCCUCGUGAACUCAUCUCCGGGGGUAGAGCACUGUUUCGGCUAGGGGGCCAUCCCGGCUUACCAACCCGAUGCAAACUGCGAAUACCGGAGAAUGUUAUCACGGGAGACACACGGCGGGUGCUAACGUCCGUCGUGAAGAGGGAAACAACCCAGACCGCCAGCUAAGGUCCCAAAGUCAUGGUUAAGUGGGAAACGAUGUGGGAAGGCCCAGACAGCCAGGAUGUUGGCUUAGAAGCAGCCAUCAUUUAAAGAAAGCGUAAUAGCUCACUGGUCGAGUCGGCCUGCGCGGAAGAUGUAACGGGGCUAAACCAUGCACCGAAGCUGCGGCAGCGACACUUUAGUGUUGUUGGGUAGGGGAGCGUUCUGUAAGCCGUUGAAGGUGUCCUGUGAGGGGUGCUGGAGGUAUCAGAAGUGCGAAUGCUGACAUAAGUAACGAUAAAGCGGGUGAAAAGCCCGCUCGCCGGAAGACCAAGGGUUCCUGUCCAACGUUAAUCGGGGCAGGGUGAGUCGACCCCUAAGGCGAGGCCGAAAGGCGUAGUCGAUGGGAAACGGGUUAAUAUUCCCGUACUUGGUGUUACUGCGAAGGGGGGACGGAGAAGGCUAUGUUGGCCGGGCGACGGUU
Molecule: ribosomal RNA, 1283 nt
Filed under: Salmonella enterica
Lineage: Bacteria; Pseudomonadati; Pseudomonadota; Gammaproteobacteria; Enterobacterales; Enterobacteriaceae
Description: partial 23S ribosomal RNA
Rfam family: Bacterial large subunit ribosomal RNA
Source: RNAcentral